RNAcentral lists this ribosomal RNA (370 nucleotides) under Fusarium proliferatum. Its description in RNAcentral is "eukaryotic LSU rRNA". The stretch from base 78 to 231 matches the Rfam family "5.8S ribosomal RNA". Lineage: Eukaryota; Fungi; Ascomycota; Sordariomycetes; Hypocreales; Nectriaceae. The record is from RNAcentral.
GUUUGGCCUAGAGAAGGUUGAGAGGUUUAAAAACACAUUUAAUUAUUUACAGUUGUCAAAUUUUAAUUAAUCUUCAAAACUUUCAACAACGGAUCUCUUGGUUCUCGCAUCGAUGAAGAACGCAGCGAAAUGCGAUAAGUAAUAUGAAUUGCAGAUUUUCGUGAAUCAUCGAAUCUUUGAACGCACAUUGCGCCCUCUGGUAUUCCAGAGGGCAUGCCUGUUUGAGCGUCAUUUCUCUCUCACGGUUUGGUAUUGAGUAGUGGACUGGCGCUGCAUGGGUAGUACUGGAUAGUGCUGUCGCCUCUGUAUUAGGUUUAUAUCGUUGAAUGGUGUGGCGGGAUAUUUCUGGUAUUGUAGCCCGGCCUUACAA